UAAAGUUUCAAAAUAAUAAGGAAAUGUUAUUGUUGAAUUCAUAGCUAUUUUUCUUCUUAGUAGUACGGAAAAUAAUGUUACCCCUGUAAAUAGAUUACAUCUUCAAUUUGAUGAUCAAAUAAGUUCAGUACUUAGGAUUUUUCUUAGCAUUAAAUAACAGAAAUCUUUUUGUAGAAAGCAAACUAAGGUCCAGGAGAUUUGCUUGUGUCUUCUUACAGAGAACUGUUUGAUACAGGCAACCAGGACUGUAUGAGAGGCUGGAAAUGUAUCUAUCAGUACUACUUAUCUGUAGUAAAGACUUUUUUAAGCUCAUUUAUGAUUGCACAACCUAAAUAACCAUACAUGGCUGGGCCUGGGAAAGGCAGAAAGGCAGAUGGGAAAACAGACCUCCACAUAGAUUUGAAGAAGUGUUGUAAAAUAAAUGGAAAAUAUGGCCUCUCUCGCUGGAGGCUUUUGUGGGAUCCUCUGGGAGCUCAGCUUCUUAGGCUAGAAGUGCCAGGGAAUUACUUCACCAAAUUCCCCCUUCUACUGGGGCUGCUGAUAUUCUUCAUUAUUCCAUCAUCAUCUCAAACCUCUUGGGUAUAG
Molecule: long non-coding RNA, 585 nt
Organism: Pan paniscus (pygmy chimpanzee)
Lineage: Eukaryota; Metazoa; Chordata; Mammalia; Primates; Hominidae
Source: Ensembl